This is a long non-coding RNA of Prinia subflava (tawny-flanked prinia), 2309 nucleotides long. RefSeq lists it as uncharacterized. NCBI's taxonomy places the organism in Eukaryota, Metazoa, Chordata, Aves, Passeriformes, Cisticolidae. The record is from RefSeq and is a predicted model, not a curated record. The transcript is spliced from 6 exons.
UGGUGGCUUUCUGAGGGGGGUGGUUUGCAGCCGGUCUGGGGAGCAGCUGCAGAGUAAUUCCCGUGCCUGAGAAGGCACUGGGCUGUUGCAGCAUUCCCGAGCUGGGACCCUGCCUGCACCGAGGACCUGGAGCCAGAGCUGUGCCAGGCCCAUGGACUCGGCUGCCAGGACCCAUCCGCUCGCUGGGCUGGCUGCGGGAUUGGAGAUGCCAGCUUUCAGGUUGGCCUGGUGUCAGACUGCACCCAGAAAUCUGCUUUCUCUCCUGAGCUGUCAGAAUGAGGAGGAGGGCAGGGUGCCGGGGCUGCCUGAAGAAGCGACAGGUUGGAAGAGCUGGGAUUUCGGCUGCUGAGACUAAUGCAUCAUGACACCUCGAUUACGCGAAGUGCGGAUGGCUCCUCCUGCCCUCUCUCUUCUAGGUGAAAGCCUGUGAACAAAUCAAGGGAAUGCUCACCUGCUGCCUGGGCUGGAUCUGCCCCAUUUCUACAGCAGCAGCCACACCCGGGGUCCCUACCUGUCCCCUGCACCUGUGGCAGGGAGGACACAGGGCACCCAUCUCCACGUUGCUGCCAGAUCUCUCAGUGACAUCUCUGAAGGGACAAUGCUUCUAUUUGUGCUUCUCUGUACCUGCUGUCCUUAACAAUUUAAAAAAUAAUAACAAGAGGAGGGAAAUUGCAAAGCCAGUGGACCGGAACGCUGUGGUGUGCAGGCAGAAGUCGGCUUGUCCAUGCUCCUGCCACCAAUGCUGUGUGAGAGAGUGGGAGAAUUCGACCCACAGCUAUAGUGAGAGUAAUGAAAUGUUUUGUGACUGAGGCUGCCUGGCCCCGUAUCUGCAAUAAUCAAAUCCUGGGCUCAUUUUGCAAACUGCAGCUACUGAGGAUGGUAAGCCAGCUAGAGCGGCAUCACUCCAGUUGUGGAACUGGGAUGCCGCAGCAGAAACUUGCAGGAGGAGGACAAACACACUGGGCUCCAUGUUUUGCUUUUCCAUUUGCAAGACAAUGGAUUGAGGAGCCAGUGGCACUGCUGCUGCAUGGAUCUUGUGCCAAUGCUGUGUCUGCUGCCAGAACCGCCAGAACCACCAGAACACCAGAACAGUGUGGCCAUGUGCUGCUGGUGCAGGUGAUGGCUGUCACCCUGCAGCUCCUUGGCUGUGUCCACCCCAGGCUCAGGACCAGAUUUCACCAAGGAAAUGAACCUCGUUUUGCUCACAAACCCAUCGUCUUUCAUUCACUUCUAUGCCAACUUCCCAGCCACAUUGUGCCUCCCACCUCUCCUGGGCUGUGGGAUGCCAGCUCCCCAUCACCCUUUCCAUCUUCAGGGAGGAGGCAGAGCCUGUGGGCUGUGUUAUACAUACACAUUAUAUUAUUGGCUUUUCACAAAUAUUAAAAUGAAUGCUAUAUGUAUAAUGUUGGAAUAACUUUGCUGUAUGAAUAUAGUUUUUAGUUUUGCUGUUAACAAAACUUAGAAAUAGUAGGGUGAUAAAUAUGUAUCUUAGGCCAUAACAUAGUAUUAAAAUGGAGACUAUGUGAUGUUAAAAUACUUUUAUUCAUGUAACUAACUCAGAGAACAGUGAAGGCAAUUAGGUGAUUCCUCACAUUUGUGGAUUACCCUAUCUGGAUGAAGAUAAUAGUGACAGAAACCAGAACCCCAAAGGAAGAAUUUAUUGACUCUCCAUUAUCAGGAAUGGUAAAAACAACAGGAUGGAACCACAAGGAGAAAUAAAAUAUAUUGAUUUUAUCUACAGGAUGGCAUGAAGUCAAAGGUUAAAACAAAGCAAAAGAACAUCUAAACUCAAAGGAAUGUUUGGAUAAUGCAUGAUAGUCUAUGAAUAUGCAACAGGCUGAAAAACUAUUUAAAGGGUGUUUCCAAGAUAGUAAGUGUGCUCUUGGCUGAACGCCAAGCACCUGGCUGUAAAGUUUCUUUUUUUUUAAAUCCCUUUGCUUUAUUUCUGUCUCCUAUUGUCUUUUUCAUUAAACUUUAAAAAUUUUACCAAGAAAGUGAACCUCGUUUUUCACAGCUACAUCUGCUGCUGCCAGCCCCACCGGAGCUGCAGGAGCAACAAUUAGAGCCAGCAGGAAGGGAGCUGCAGGGUUGCAGGUGUUAUAAGUACACAUAUUAUGUUAUUGGCUUUUUGCAAAUAUUAAAAUGAAUACUAUACAUAUGAUGUUGAGAAAGAAAAAAAACCUUUACGGUAUUAAUAUAGUUUUUUUUACUUCUGCUAUUAAUGAAACAUAGAAAUAAGUAGUGUGAGGAAUAUACGUAUAUUUCUCAGGCUAUAGCAUGAUACUAUAGUAAAGACUGUUUUUGUAACA